UAAAUGCAAAGCGUAUUUUAAAGUUGACUGGACUCUGCUACUAGCCCAACAACCCAGAAAAUUCCUGAUAGCCAAGAUGUGGGUGAAUCUGGUAUUCAGAUUGGGAAACAAAGUUCUUCCAGCAAGAAAGGCGCAGCAAAAGCCGCUGUUCAGUUUGGAUGCACUUGGAUAAGGAGCACUUCAUAAACUCUGCACACAACCAUGACAUAGCUGGGAAAAGCUGACCAGCUCAUCUGCUUCGGGGUGGCUGCUUAUGCUGCAUUACCUGAGAUUUUCCCCGAUCCAGCUUUACAUGACUCAAGUGCCGGAGGCUGCAUUAAGGAGGUGUGAAUGUCAGGAGUCUGGAUACCAGCCAAAGCUUAUGAAGGUCAAAAGAGGAUUUUUUCCACCACCUUCUACUGGACCUUCAAUCAAUUCCAGGUUCAGACUGAGACUUUCUCUUCAUAUACCCAAGAAAAUGAGAUGAUGUGCCAUGUAAUGAAUAGGACCACACAGGGGUGACUCACCUGGGGUACCUCUCUCGUGUCAAGUUCGCUGAGGACAUCUGGGAACAUUCCUGCUUGGGGUACAUGGAAAAUGGGUGUCCCAGCAGAUUUUUUACUACUGUCCAGAAGAAGUGACCAAGACAAUCUCAUGGGCAGGAAGAUGUUCAAAAUGUGGAGACAACAUGCAAAAUUAGGUCUGGAAAGGGUUCUUCUGCACUUCUGAGGAUUAUUACUGUAUCUUAUCUUUAAUAGAAACCUGAGAUUUCCUCAUAAUUACUUGUCUUUCAGAGUGAAGGAGGCAUAAAAAACUCUCCAGGCAAAGACUGGGACAAAAGCACAUACAAUCCUUGGAUUUCCCCAUUCUGGUUGUACCCAUGUGGUCCUAGGUAUUUUUCUUCAUUACAUGGAAUAUGUAAGUAAGCAAAUACUGUGAUUACUGUUUUCCCAGCUUGGAUGGCACUUGGAUUGAGGGCAUGGUCAGACUCUCAUAAAUGUGUAUUGGAGCAAUUUGAAAGCUUCUUUAAAUGGAGAGCCAUUCUCUCUUUCUCCAAGCUGAUCAUGGUGGUUAAAGGCUAUUAU
This is a long non-coding RNA of Pezoporus occidentalis (night parrot), 1064 nucleotides long. RefSeq lists it as uncharacterized. The transcript is spliced from 3 exons. NCBI's taxonomy places the organism in Eukaryota, Metazoa, Chordata, Aves, Psittaciformes, Psittacidae. The record is from RefSeq and is a predicted model, not a curated record.